RNAcentral lists this transfer RNA (69 nucleotides) under Furnarius figulus. Its description in RNAcentral is "tRNA-Ala". It matches the Rfam family "tRNA". Rfam says of the family: Transfer RNA (tRNA) molecules are approximately 80 nucleotides in length. Their secondary structure includes four short double-helical elements and three loops (D, anti-codon, and T loops). The record is from RNAcentral. Lineage: Eukaryota; Metazoa; Chordata; Aves; Passeriformes; Furnariidae.
AAGGUUCUAGCUUAAUUAAAGCAUUUGAGUUGCAUUCAGAGGAUGCAGGAUAAUGACCUGCGAAUCUUA